Potamilus streckersoni is the source of this 78-nucleotide non-coding RNA. The record is from the annotation of a GenBank genome assembly. NCBI's taxonomy places the organism in Eukaryota, Metazoa, Mollusca, Bivalvia, Unionida, Unionidae.
GACCGCUCCGGUGGCCUAAUGGUUAAAGCAUCCGCCUCGUAUGCGGGUUGUCGUGGGUUCGAUCCACCGGCUGAGUCA